ACUCCUACGGGAGGCAGCAGUAAGAAUAUUGCGCAAUGGGCGAAAGCCUGACGCAGCGACGCCGCGUGGGGGAUGAAGGUCUUCGGAUUGUAAACCCCUUUCGGGAGGGAAGAUGGAGCGAGCAAUCGUUUGGACGGUACCUCCAGAAGCAGCCACGGCCAACUUCGUGCCAGCAGCCGCGGUAAUACGAAGGUGGCAAGCGUUGUUCGGAUUCACUGGGCGUACAGGGUGUGUAGGCGGUUUGGUAAGCCUUCUGUUAAAGCUUCGGGCCCAACCCGGAAAGCGCAGAGGGUACUGCCAGGCUAGAGGGUGGGAGA
This 317-nucleotide ribosomal RNA is filed under the name uncultured Nitrospira sp. RNAcentral describes it as "bacterial SSU rRNA". It matches the Rfam family "Bacterial small subunit ribosomal RNA", at positions 335 to 655 of the family's 1533-position model. The record is from RNAcentral. Lineage: Bacteria; Pseudomonadati; Nitrospirota; Nitrospiria; Nitrospirales; Nitrospiraceae.